UGGGGAAUUUUUGUCAAUGGGGGAAACCCUGAACAAGCAACGCCGCGUGAAGGACGAAGGCCUUCGGGUUGUAAACUUCUGUCGGAGGGGACGAAAGCGGUUGAGGUUAAUACCUUUGAUCGUUGACGGUACCUUACGAGGAAGCCCCGGCUAACUCCGUGCCAGCAGCCGCGGUAAUACGGGGGGGGCAAGCGUUGUUCGGAAUUACUGGGCGUAAAGGGCGCGCAGGCGGGCUAGACAGUCUCUCGUGAAAUCCCACGGCUCAACCGUGGAACUGCGGGAGAUACUACUAGUCUUGAGUCCGGGAGAGGAGAGCGGAAUUCCCAGUGUAGCGGUGAAAUGCGUAGAUAUUGGGAGGAACAUCAGUGGCGAAGGCGGCUCUCUGGACCGGUACUGACGCUGAGGCGCGAAAGCUAGGGGAGCAAACGGG
This 430-nucleotide ribosomal RNA is filed under the name uncultured bacterium. Its description in RNAcentral is "bacterial SSU rRNA". It matches the Rfam family "Bacterial small subunit ribosomal RNA", at positions 355 to 776 of the family's 1533-position model. The record is from RNAcentral.